AACGUAGGGGGCCAGCGUUGCUCGGAAUUACUGGGCGUAAAGGGUCCGUAGGCGGUGUGGCAAGUCGGAAGUGAAAUCUCUGGGCUUAACUCAGAGGCUGCUUCCGAAACUGCUGUGCUAGAGUGUGAGAGAGGCGAGUGGAAUUGCGGGUGUAGCGGUGAAAUGCGUAGAUAUCAAGUGGAACACCAGUGGCGAAGGCGAGUCCCUGGACAAUUCCUGACACUGAGGCACGAAAGCUAGGGGAGCAAACAGG
This 253-nucleotide ribosomal RNA is filed under the name uncultured prokaryote. RNAcentral's name for it is "partial 16S ribosomal RNA". It matches the Rfam family "Bacterial small subunit ribosomal RNA", at positions 524 to 776 of the family's 1533-position model. The record is from RNAcentral.